ACGGACAGCAAAAGAACAGAAACGAAACGGCGGCUUAAACUUAACGUUUUUAAAAUGAUCACUCGGUCUUCUGCCCAGAUGGAGUGCAGUAGUUGAGCGCGUUGCGUUUGUAACCGUACCUGAAGAUUCAGCUCUGCCACUCAGUUGUCUUGCAGUUCCAAGAACUGAAUUUUUUUCCUGAUGUCUGAAGAUUACUGUUGAGCUUACUGCCUUUGGGUUGGAGGUUUCUCUUUCCUGCAUCCUGAAUUGUCUGGACUUGACUCACACCUGCUUGUUUUCAAAUCCUUUUUUUAAAUAAAACAAUCUCUCCAAUUAAGGUAGCACCAAAACAAAGAAAAAAACCCCUGCUUAUUCCAGGCAAUGGGAUUGAACAAGAUACUGAUGGCCAUUUUGAUACCAUAUUAACAACAAUAACAACUGUUGCAGGUGCAAAAAUAACUGAAAGGCAAUAUGCACAAUUGGAACAACCACACCGUAUAAUGGUAUGGCUCAAAUGUGAUUGCAAGCUAUUCUAUUUCAAAACAUCACUGCAGAUGGAUAGUUGGCUCUCUUCCCAGAAAUUAUUCUUCUUUUUAGUUAUUUUUAAAACCCAAGACACAAACAGAGUUCAGUGAACUUGGCAAAGUCCCAGGAAUUAAGUUGUGUGAAAAUCUGUGAGAUCCAAACAACUGCUCAGAAGGUCCACGAGCCCCAAGGGUAGGCUAUUUUCCUGCCCAUUGGUUGAAUAUUAAUAUCUUUGGGUAUGUCAGAAGGCCUCUUGUUCUUGAAUAUGUUGUGAGCUUCAAACCACUUUUUUAUGGAAAGCAGCAAAAAUAAGAAAAACAGGCCUAGAUUCUACUGGGUAUAUACACCUAAACUGCUAUUUGGAUAAAGUUUAUUAUAGAAAUAUACAUCCUCAAAGACCAUUUGUACUCUAGAAGACAAGAAGAUGAAGUUAUUUCUGUGUCCAAAUGUAUCCUUACUCAGGGUACAUCCAUUCUCAUAUAACACAGUACAUUUUUUUACUGUAAUGGAAUUCAAUUGAUAAAAUUCUAUCUGCAAAGAGAUUUAUCUUUCAUCAAUAGAUUUAAACAUUUUGGGGGAAAUCCUACCAAAAAGUCUUUUCAGUGCAAUAGUAAAGAGUGCUAAAAUGCUAAUAUUGCCAUUAUUAGAAUGCUAAUAAUGAAGCCUAAAGUUCCAUGCAACAGCAUCAGCUGGAUAAUGUUAGCUGUGGUUAAUAUAACUAUAAGCAAAUAUUGCAUAUCUGUUUGAAUUUUGUGACCACUAUUUUUUAUGUUUUAAUAUUUAAUAUUGGCUUUUCUAUUGUUCCUGUGAAUAUACCAUUUGCUGAUAGUCCAAUCCAAUCUUUACAAUUUAUUUUUGGGGUAAGGCAGGUUAUUGGAAGGCAAAUGUCCAUAUGUUCAAAAAGAGGCAAAGAGGAAGAUCUGAAGAAAUAAAGAUUACUUAGCUUGACUGUUAACUGAGAAGAUCCGGUGAACGUGCUGGCCUAGAAACCAGACUAUGAGUUCUAGUCCCACUUUAGGCAUGAAAGAUGGCUGGGUGACUUUGGGCCAGUCACUCUCUCUCAACCCAACCCAUUCAGAGAGUUAUUAUUGUGGAGAAAAUAGAAUGAAGGAGUAAUUGUGUGUUUUCACUGCCUUGAGUUACUUUAAAGGCAGGAUAAUAAUCUAAUAAAUAAAAGUCAGAAUGGUAUAUCAAGAA
Molecule: long non-coding RNA, 1701 nt
Organism: Crotalus tigris (Tiger rattlesnake)
Lineage: Eukaryota; Metazoa; Chordata; Lepidosauria; Squamata; Viperidae
Exons: 4
Source: RefSeq, a predicted model, not a curated record